GUUGAGAUGGCCGAGUUGGUCUAUGGCGCCAGAUUAAGGUUCUCGUCCGAAAGGGCGUGGGUUCAAAUCCCACUCUCAACA
This 81-nucleotide transfer RNA is filed under the name Ananas comosus (pineapple). It matches the Rfam family "tRNA". From Rfam's summary of the family: Transfer RNA (tRNA) molecules are approximately 80 nucleotides in length. Their secondary structure includes four short double-helical elements and three loops (D, anti-codon, and T loops). Lineage: Eukaryota; Viridiplantae; Streptophyta; Magnoliopsida; Poales; Bromeliaceae. The record is from Rfam by way of RNAcentral.